UACGAAGGGUGCAAGCGUUGUUCGGAAUCAUUGGGCGUAAAGCGCGCGCAGGCGGAUUGAUAAGUCAGGUGUGAAAUCUCGAGGCUCAACCUCGAAACUGCGCCUGAAACUAUUAGUCUAGAAUGUCGGAGGGGGCAGGGGAAUUUCACGUGUAGGGGUAAAAUCCGUAGAGAUGUGAAGGAACACCGGAGGCGAAGGCGCCUGCCUGGACGACUAUUGACGCUGAGGCGCGAAAGCGUGGGGAGCAAACAGG
RNAcentral lists this ribosomal RNA (253 nucleotides) under uncultured bacterium. Its description in RNAcentral is "partial 16S ribosomal RNA". It matches the Rfam family "Bacterial small subunit ribosomal RNA", at positions 524 to 776 of the family's 1533-position model. The record is from RNAcentral.